Molecule: ribosomal RNA, 482 nt
Filed under: uncultured bacterium
Lineage: Bacteria
Description: partial 16S ribosomal RNA
Rfam family: Bacterial small subunit ribosomal RNA
Source: RNAcentral
GACGAACGCUGGCGGCGUGCUUAACACAUGCCAGUCGAACGAUGAAGAAGAGAAACGCGAACUUCGGUUCAAAUUUCACUUCGGAUUAGUGGCAGACGGGUGAGUAACGCGUGAGCAACCUACCUCUUACAAAGGGAUAGCCUCGGGAAACCGUGAUUAAUACCAUAUGACACAUUCAUAAGGCAUCUUAAGAAUGUUAAAGCUACGGCGGUAAGAGAUGGGCUCGCGUCCCAUUAGCUAGUUGGUGAGGUAACGGCCCACCAAGGCGACGAUGGGUAACCGGCCUGAGAGGGUGAACGGUCACAUUGGAACUGAGACACGGUCCAAACUCCUACGGGAGGCAGCAGUGGGGAAUAUUGCACAAUGGAGGGAACUCUGAUGCAGCGACGCCACGUGAGCGAUGAAGGAAUUCGUUUCGUAAAGCUCUGUUCUAUGGGAAGAAAAGGACUGUACCAUAGGAGAAAGCCCCGGCUAAAUACGUG